Molecule: ribosomal RNA, 466 nt
Filed under: uncultured bacterium
Lineage: Bacteria
Description: partial 16S ribosomal RNA
Rfam family: Bacterial small subunit ribosomal RNA
Source: RNAcentral
GACAAACGCUGGCGGCGCGCCUAACACAUGCAAGUCGAACGAGCGAGAGAGAGCUUGCUUUCUCAAGCGAGUGGCGAACGGGUGAGUAACGCGUGAGGAACCUGCCUCAAAGAGGGGGACAACAGUUGGAAACGACUGCUAAUACCGCAUAAGCCCACAGGUCGGCAUCGACCAGAGGGAAAAGGAGCAAUCCGCUUUGAGAUGGCCUCGCGUCCGAUUAGCUAGUUGGUGAGGUAACGGCCCACCAAGGCAACGAUCGGUAGCCGGACUGAGAGGUUGAACGGCCACAUUGGGACUGAGACACGGCCCAGACUCCUACGGGAGGCAGCAGUGGGGAAUAUUGCACAAUGGGGGAAACCCUGAUGCAGCGACGCCGCGUGGAGGAAGAAGGUCUUCGGAUUGUAAACUCCUGUUGUUGAGGAAGAUAAUGACGGUACUCAACAAGGAAGUGACGGCUAACUACGUG